RNAcentral lists this ribosomal RNA (548 nucleotides) under uncultured soil bacterium. Its description in RNAcentral is "bacterial SSU rRNA". It matches the Rfam family "Bacterial small subunit ribosomal RNA", at positions 65 to 606 of the family's 1533-position model. The record is from RNAcentral.
AACGGUAACGCGGGGGCAACCCUGGCGACGAGUGGCGAACGGGUGAGUAAUACAUCGGAACAUGUCCUGGAGUGGGGGAUAGCUCGGCGAAAGCCGGAUUAAUACCGCAUACGCUCUGAGGAGGAAAGCGGGGGACCUUUCGGGGCCUCGCGCUGCAGGAGUGGCCGAUGUCGGAUUAGCUAGUUGGUGGGGUAAAGGCCCACCAAGGCGACGAUCCGUAGCUGGUCUGAGAGGAUGAUCAGCCACACUGGGACUGAGACACGGCCCAGACUCCUACGGGAGGCAGCAGUGGGGAAUUUUGGACAAUGGGGGCAACCCUGAUCCAGCCAUGCCGCGUGAGUGAAGAAGGCCUUCGGGUUGUAAAGCUCUUUCGGACGGAACGAAAUGGUUACGGUGAAUAUCCGUGACUGAUGACGGUACCGUAAUAAGAAGCACCGGCUAACUACGUGCCAGCAGCCGCGGUAAUACGUAGGGUGCGAGCGUUAAUCGGAAUUACUGGGCGUAAAGCGUGCGCAGGCGGUUCGCCAAGUCAGGUGUGAAAUCCCCGG